CGAAAACGAGGGGUUCGCCCAUGGCGCACGGGCCGAAAACCGAGGUUCGGGCAUGGCCCCGGAAAUAAGCUAAGUCCAAGCGUGUGGAAAGACACCGAAGGUAAUAUGUAUGUCUUGGGUGAAGGGCAUGGCGGAACGGAGGGAAAACGGCACGGAGGCGCAAGGCGACGGGCGGCAUGGCUGUUCGGCCUUGCGUCUGGGCCGAAAAUGAGGGGUUCGCCCAUGGCGCACGCGCCGAAAACUGAGGCCCGGGCACGACCCCGAAAAAAGCUAAGUCCAAGCGUGUGGAAUGGAAAGACAACAAGCUAAGGUGUAUGUCAGGCUUGAGUGAAGGGCAAGGUGGAACGGAGGGAAAACGGGAGGAGGCGCGCGGCGACGGGCGGCAGGGCUGUUCGGCCUUGCGUCUGGGCUGAAAACGAGGUGUUCGCCAUGGCGCACGGGCCGAAAACGGAGGCUCGGGCACGAACUCGAAAAUAAGCUAAGUCGAAGCAUGUGGAAAGACACCGAACAUAAAGUCUAUGUCUUUGGUGAAGGGCACAGUGGAACGGAGGGAAAACGACACGGAGGCACGCGACGAACGGAGGCUCGGGCACGGAGGCGCGCGGCGACGGGCGGCAUGGCUGUUCGGCCUUGCGUUUGGGCUGAAAACGAGGCGUUCGCCAUGGCGCGCGGGCCGAAAACAACGGUUCGGCCACGGCCUCGGAAAUAAGCUAAGUCCAAGCGUGUAGAAAGACACCGAAGCUAAUGUGUAAGUCUUGGGUGAAGGGCACGGUGGAACGGAGGGAAAACGACACGGAGGCACGCGACGACGGGCGGCAGGGCCGUUCGGCCUUGCGUCUGGGCUGAAAACGAGGGGUUCGCCAUGGCGCACGGGCCGAAAACGGAGGCUCGGGCACGAACUCGAAAAUAAGCUAAGUCCAAGCGUGUGGAAAGACACCGAACCUAAAGUGCAUGUCUUGAUUGAAGCGCAAGGUGGAACGGAGGGAAAACGGGAGGAGGCGCGCGGCGACGGCGGCAGGGCCGUUCGGCCUUGCGCCUGGGCUGAAAACAAGGGGUUCGCCAUGGCGCGCGGGCCGAAAACCGAGGUUCGGGCAUGGCCCCGGAAAUAAGCUAAGUCCAAGCGUGUGGAAAGACACCGAAGGUAAUAUGUAUGUCUUGGGUGAAGGGCAUGGCGGAACGGAGGGAAAACGGCACGGAGGCGCAAGGCGACGGGCGGCAUGGCUGUUCGGCCUUGCGUCUGGGCGAAAACGAGGGGUUCGCCAUGGCGCGCGGGCCGAAAACAACGGUUCGGCCACGGCCGCGAAAACGGGCUAAGUCCCAGCGUGUGGAAAGACACCGAACCUAGAGCGCAUGUCUUGAGUGAAGGUAAAGGUGGAACGGAGGGAAAACGGGAGGAGGCGCGCGGCGACGGGCGGCAGGGCUGUUCGGCCUUGCGUAUGGGCUGAAAACGAGGAGUUCGCCAUGGCGCGCGGGCCGAAAAAAACGGUUCGGCCACGGCCGCGAAAACGGGCUAAGUCCAAGCGCGUGGAAAGACACCGAGGCUGCUACGUAGGUCUCGGUUGAAGGGCACGGUGGAACGGAGGGAAAACGGGAGGAGACGCAAGGCAACGGGCGGCAGGGCUGUUCGGCCUUGCGUUUCGGGUGAAAACGAGGGGUUCGCCAUGGCGAACGGGCCAAAAACGGAUUUUCGGCCACGGCCGCGAAAACGGGCACGUGGAAGGGCACGGGACCCUCCCGUGGUCCCCCCGCGUGAGACGUGGAAGUUCGGGUGCACCCGUGAGGGAAAACGGGUCACGCUAGCGAAACCCCUGAUUCUGAGCAAAAACGCUGUGUCCAGCCAUCUUAGAUGGGUUUCGUGGGGUACUGGGAAAAUGCCCUGGUUUUCUGAAGGCAGAACUCCCCGAAGUCCUGGGAGGGGGUAUGCCCCUCAGGUAUAGUAGGGGGUAGGGAACUCGUGCAGCCGAAACCCGGGCGAAACGCUGCUGAAACCAUAGCGUUUCCAGCGUCUCCUCCAGGUCUCCUCGGCCGAGCCCCGCACCCCCUCGCGGCCUAGCCGUGGCCGGUCGGCACCCUACCGCGCCCAGCUCCGGCUGGCGCUGUUGGCUGCCUGGCCGGCCGUGGUUCGGCCGUGACGCAGCCACGACCGGCUAUGGCUGGCUACCGCCGGCCAGACGCCCUGGACGAGUGGCUGCACCGUGGGAUGGCCCGUUGCUCGAUGCGUUUUCCGUUUCUCCCGCGCUCGGUGGACCUUCGGUCGCCGUCCUCGCAAGCAGACCCGCCGCGCCCAGCGCGGAGGGAUGCUUUGGAUGGCUCGAUCGUAGCGGCUACGCUGGCGCAUGAGUUGUCUUGGACCCGUGACUGCUUGGAGGACCCCCGCUGCCGUGCGGCCGACUCCCGGCGCCCGUGUCCCAUCGCUCGUGCGGGCAUCCGUGCCUGCUGCGUUGAGAAGUGCUUGCGUGCUGCUACCCGUCCCACGGGAAGCCGUGCUCGAUACACGUUGCCUUCGUCGAGCUCACCCCCCGGGGUGCGGCUCGUCGGCUCGAGAGCGCCCGCGGCGUUUGCCUCGUGCCGCCGUCGCCUAUGGCCGGCGGCACCGAGGACACCUCGCUGGCGCUUUUGGUCUCGGAUGUGGCUCACGCUGAAGGCCGGAGACGCGUUGGCGUCACGCGCCCAAGAAUCGGUCCGCCCGAACGAACGACGGCCAGCCCGGCACGACGCCUCCGCGCGUAGGCCGGCGCUGGCCCGUCUGCGAGGACGUGCUACC
This 2764-nucleotide long non-coding RNA is filed under the name Zea mays. RNAcentral's name for it is "long non-coding RNA (ZMAY_LNC005787)". Lineage: Eukaryota; Viridiplantae; Streptophyta; Magnoliopsida; Poales; Poaceae. The record is from RNAcentral.